RNAcentral lists this non-coding RNA (25 nucleotides) under Cricetulus griseus (Chinese hamster). Lineage: Eukaryota; Metazoa; Chordata; Mammalia; Rodentia; Cricetidae. The record is from RNAcentral.
AGUUAAGGAACGAUUUUUUGAAGGA